CCUGGCUCUACUCGGCGGCCGAGCUGCACGCCCUCUUCGAGAGCGCGGGCUUCACCGACGUGGAGUGCUUCGGCGGGUUCGACGCCUCCGGCUACGACCA
This 100-nucleotide transfer RNA is filed under the name Streptomyces rubiginosohelvolus. RNAcentral's name for it is "tRNA-Arg". The record is from RNAcentral. RNAcentral also lists the same sequence under 1 other name. Lineage: Bacteria; Bacillati; Actinomycetota; Actinomycetes; Kitasatosporales; Streptomycetaceae.